AACGCUGGCGGCAGGCUUAACACAUGCAAGUCGAACGUGAAGCCGGGCUUCGGUCUGGUGGAAAGUGGCGCACGGGUGAGUAUCGCGUGGGAAUUUACCCAGCAGUUCGGAAUAACCCCGGGAAACCGGGGCUAAUACCGUAUACGCCCUUCGGGGGAAAGAUUUAUCGCUGUUGGAUGAGCCCGCGUCGGAUUAGCUUGUUGGUAGGGUAAAGGCCUACCAAGGCGACGAUCCGUAGCUGGUCUGAGAGGACGACCAGCCACACUGGGACUGAGACACGGCCCAGACUCC
RNAcentral lists this ribosomal RNA (291 nucleotides) under unidentified marine bacterioplankton. Its description in RNAcentral is "partial 16S ribosomal RNA". It matches the Rfam family "Bacterial small subunit ribosomal RNA", at positions 32 to 339 of the family's 1533-position model. The record is from RNAcentral. RNAcentral also lists the same sequence under 1 other name.